RNAcentral lists this ribosomal RNA (254 nucleotides) under uncultured bacterium. RNAcentral describes it as "partial 16S ribosomal RNA". It matches the Rfam family "Bacterial small subunit ribosomal RNA", at positions 524 to 776 of the family's 1533-position model. The record is from RNAcentral.
CACGUAGGGGGCGAGCGUUGUCCGGAUUCAUUGGGCGUAAAGAGCUCGUAGGCGGCUCAGUAAGUCGGGUGUGAAAUCCUCAGGCUCAACCUGGGGACGCCACUCGAUACUGCUGUGGCUAGAGUCCAGUAGAGGAGUGUGGAAUUCCCGGUGUAGCGGUGAAAUGCGCAGAUAUCGGGAGGAACACCAACGGCGAAGGCAGCACUCUGGGCUGGAACUGACGCUGAGGAGCGAAAGCUAGGGGAGCAAACAGG